Long non-coding RNA from Columba livia (rock pigeon), 1044 nucleotides. RefSeq lists it as uncharacterized. The transcript is spliced from 3 exons. NCBI's taxonomy places the organism in Eukaryota, Metazoa, Chordata, Aves, Columbiformes, Columbidae. The record is from RefSeq and is a predicted model, not a curated record.
CAAAUUGUUUCUUUGCUCUGAGCGAAAGGGGAAGCAUGGCUUGCUGUCUGACAGAGUAGGUCACUUUGAUGGCACACUUCACCAGCCCUGCUGGCCCACCAGAAGAUAUUUGAUUUCAUUUAUAAGGACUGUGCAGUACCUCACAUCAAAGAGCUGCCAUUUGUAUCAGUAUGGAAACUCCUGCAGUGCUGAACUUACUCUGCAGUUUGCAAGCUUCUUGGCUGCCCUUUCUGCCUGCCUUGCAGAGGACAUGUGGCUGCAACUUCAUCUGCAAAUGCAGAAAGGGUGACAGCGUAAGAAAGUUGAGAGCCAAAUCAGCUGUGGUUUGUGGUUCCAACUGAGAGCAUCUUGGAUCAGAAGUGGGACAAUGUGGAAUUUUUUGUACCAAUGGCAGAAAAAAAGCCUGGAGCAGGCAGGACAAAACAAAAUGAGGCUUUCCCCAAGCCUACCUUGCAACUUGUUAGAAGCCUGGAGGAUCUUCCUUUCAGUCUCCACUGGAGCUUCCCAAUACACUCAUCUCCAUGAAGGACAGAAAACAAGUUCAUUGGAGUCAGAGCACAUUCCGUGUUUGCAAAAAGAUCAGCUUGAUCCACUGGUUUAAUAACUGAUCACACUGAUUUAAUAAAUUUUGCAAGCAUGGUGAAUUGACCCUAACAGUGCUCCCCUGUUCCGUCCUUGUGGAGUGCAAAAGCUUUACCUUCAGUUAUCAAAAAACUCUGGACACACUGAAGGAGUCUCAAACACUUGUAUACCUGUGUGGGGUGGAUUUCUUUAAAGUCAAGUAGGAAGUGCUGGUCAGGAUUUAAAACACACAGUAAGUCAGAGAAUGAAUCUCCUCUUCUAUUUUCAUAAGUGUUCUUACUAGCACUGAAACCUACAGAUCCUGAGUAGACUUCCAAGAGCCAGCUAAUUACCCACUGCAACCUCAGAAGAGGUGGUAUGGUCAUAAUUUGGCCCUUUGGUAUUCUGUCAGUGCCUGGAUCAUCAUCGCAGCAUCUAAGUUAGUUUGCUUACAUGUUAUCUGUGAAGUAAAACAAGCAGUUU